RNAcentral lists this ribosomal RNA (482 nucleotides) under uncultured bacterium. RNAcentral describes it as "bacterial SSU rRNA". It matches the Rfam family "Bacterial small subunit ribosomal RNA", at positions 28 to 508 of the family's 1533-position model. The record is from RNAcentral.
GAUGAACGCUAGCGGCAGGCCUAAUACAUGCAAGUCGAACGGUCAGUAGCAAUACUGAUAGUGGCGCACGGGUGCGUAACACGUAACUAACCUACCUAUAACUGGGGGAUAGCCCGCCGAAAGGCGGAUUAAUACCGCAUAAGCUAGUUGAGAUGGCAUCAUCUUAUUAGUAAAGAUUUAUUGGUUAUAGAUGGGGUUGCGGGUCAUUAGCUAGUUGGUAGGGUAAAAGCCUACCAAGGCAUCGAUCAGUAGCUGGUCUGAGAGAACGACCAGCCACACUGGAACUGAGACACGGUCCAGACUCCUACGGGAGGCAGCAGUGGGGAAUUUUGGACAAUGGGCGCAAGCCUGAUCCAGCAAUGCCGCGUGAGUGAAGAAGGCCUUCGGGUUGUAAAGCUCUUUCGGCCGGGAAGAAGGGUGUGCGGGUGAAUAAUCCGUUCAUUUGAUGGUACCGGAAGAAGAAGCACCGGCUAACUUCGUGC